This is an unclassified non-coding RNA of Vespa mandarinia (Asian giant hornet), 1794 nucleotides long. The record is from RefSeq and is a predicted model, not a curated record. NCBI's taxonomy places the organism in Eukaryota, Metazoa, Arthropoda, Insecta, Hymenoptera, Vespidae.
GGAUUAAUGUCUUCCUCAAUAAAUGAUUAGUUUAGAAUUUAAUGAAAAAUGGCGUCUUUAACAAAAGCUGUACAAAUUUCAAAAUUGGUGAACAAUGUGACAAAACUUAUUACAAACUUAUCAUUAUCCAAUAAUAUUAAUUUAGUUUCUAACACUAGGUUUAUUCGAAGAUUACCUAUGCAACCAUGUGCACUAUUGCAUGCUUCAUCAACAAAAUAUGAUUUAAUGGAGUUCUUUGAUGACACAAUUAAUUGGGGUAAAGAUGAAGUAAAAGUUGGACGUUCAUGGAGGAUGGAUGAAUUAAGAUUAAAAAGUAAUGAAGAUCUUCACAAGUUAUGGUUCGUGUUAUUAAAGGAGCGUAAUAUGCUCUUAACGAUGGAAGAAGCAUGCAAAAGAAAAUAUAAGAUUUUUCCAAAUCCUGAACGAAUAGAUAAAGUUGAAAUGAGUAUGUCAAAUUUAGAAUCUGUAAUUCGUGAAAGAAAUAAAGCUUAUCAUUUACUUGAAACUGGAGAAACAGGAGAACGUCCAGGGAGAUUUGUAUACAAUGCGCUUGGUUAUAAAUUUUAUUAUCGUAUGCGUGAAUAUCGUAUACCACAAUUUAUGAACAGCAAAUGGUAUAAAAAACAUUUCUUUGGAUAUCAGGGUUAUGCAGUACGCAAAUUUCUACGAUUGUAUAGAGAAAAAUUAUGGAAUAUUAAACGGAAAGCAAGAAACCGCGAUUUUCAGCAAGCUUUAGUCUUGCUCAGAAGAUUCCCAAAUAUGGAUAUUAAUGCAUUCAAAGAGAAAUAUCCAUCUGUAGAUAUAGAAAAAGCAAAACGCUAUAAAAAAUCACAAGGACAUUUUGUAUCUUAAUGCAAUAAUCAUUAUUUUAUGAAAGUAUAACCUAUAAUAAUUUAAUUAAUUGUAAAUUAUAACAACUUUAUUGUAUAUUAAUAAAAGUAAGAUUAAAAGUCCUAACAUGGACUUGGUUGUAUUAGUUCAUGUUUUGUCCACAUUUGUCGCUGAUGUCACAUAUGUUCCGAUCGAAACUUUAACGUCAAUGAAAAAUUAUUCUUACCAAUGAUUGUAGAAUGUAACAAGCUUUAUUAUUUGACUAGUUUGGAAUAGUUUUAUUAACUUUUAACUGUUAUAGUAUUUCUAUCGAAUAAAAAUUUAUGUGGAAAGUAUACAGAUUUGAUAUUUAUAUUAGAUGCUAAUUGUAAUAUGUAAAAAAUCUAUCAUUAUAUGCUUUCCACAUAAAUGAAAAUAGUCUACAAGAAGAAAUGGAAUACAAUGUAUAAAUUAAUACUACUAUGAUUUAUAUGUCAUAUAAAUCAAAUUAUAUUAUUAAAUCUAUCGAUGAAGUAAGAAUUUUAAUUAUAAUGCGUCAAUAAUAAAUUCAAUAGAUAAACUUAUAAAAGUUAUGAAAUUAUAGAGCUAUGGGCUAUUAAUUAUUUUAAAUCACAAAUAAAAAAGCUGCCAACACAACUUACUUCGAACGAAUUCGACGAAGGUACAUGUGCAUUUUAGUGAAUUGUUAAUCGUAAUAUAGUCGUUUAUAAUUUUAGGAAUAGAUGUACUCUAUAAUAUAAUUAUUAUUUCGUUAGAUCGAACAAAAAUUGUAUGUAUGUAAUUUUAAUAAUAUACAACUGUUUUAUUAUUUGUCUUGCCACGGUACCUCACAAGAUUUUAACAUUACAAAUUGUAUAAUGACUCGUGAAGUCUCUUAAACCAUCUAAUCCAAUAGCGUAAACAUAAUAUGUUUGAGAUCAUAUGUGUAACUUUACACUUUCAAUGUUUCGAGGGCAAAUCUUC